Long non-coding RNA from Helianthus annuus (common sunflower), 848 nucleotides. RefSeq lists it as uncharacterized. NCBI's taxonomy places the organism in Eukaryota, Viridiplantae, Streptophyta, Magnoliopsida, Asterales, Asteraceae. The record is from RefSeq and is a predicted model, not a curated record. The transcript is spliced from 3 exons.
UUGUAUACUAGACCGUAUGUUAAUUUUAAAAGCAGACCCAAUAUAUCCCAACUGAUAUUAGGUCAUCAUCUCCCUGGUUUCUUUUACUGUUAGCGGAACCGCCCAACACCGACGACUUGAAAUAAGCUGACGAUAUGUAGGUAAUAUUAUUUCUGUAGGUAAUAUUAUUUCUGUAGGUAAUAUUAUUGAAAGUGGGACGUCGAGGCCGGCUGCUAGAUGUAACAACCCAUUUUCAGGUGAUCAAGUUUGAGCUAAGAUUGUAAAGGACCAGGUAUAAACGGUCAUCUUAAAGCACUACUUUUGCAGGUCUCACAGGGUUGAAGCGCUGCUCAACAUUCUGUCACGGAUUGUAAUGGUUAUUGAUACGUUUCAGCUAGUUUCUUGAAUCUAUGUUUGUUGAUCAAGCUGAUGUGAUUGGUGAUUGAAGAGACAAACGAGGCCACCCAAGAUUUUAAUAAUAUUGAAUGGAAGAGUGGUUCCUCGAGAAUCGUUUCUGAGGAUUCCGGUCAUAAGAUUUAUAUCUAGUUAUUGAUAUGCUAACCACGUGUAUGCGUGUACAUUUAGCUGUGACUAAUGUUCCUUGUGUUGUGAUGUGGGCAAGUUUAUGUGACUGAAAGCUGAUGUGAUCAAGUUUUUAGGAUCGGGUCAACGAGCUUUAAGAUCGUGUGGUUUAGUGUGCAUCAUUUGUUAAGUUCUUUUCGGGGCAAAUACUUGUAUGUUGUGUAUUAGAAUUUAACUCAACAAUCGUUUAGCUAAAUGGUUUUGUGUAAAUGGUGUAUCGAGUCAUGUGAAUUUUUGCGAGUGUCUUGAUUGCUAAUGAACCUACAUCACCGUAAGGAGUAUUUCUA